GAUGAACGCUGGCGGCGUGCCUAAUACAUGCAAGUCGAGCGAACAGACGAGGAGCUUGCUCCUCUGACGUUAGCGGCGGACGGGUGAGUAACACGUGGAUAACCUACCUAUAAGACUGGGAUAACUUCGGGAAACCGGAGCUAAUCCCGGAUAAUAUAUUGAACCGCAUGGUUCAAUAGUGAAAGACGGUUUUGCUGUCACUUAUAGAUGGAUCCGGGCCGCAUUAGCUAGUUGGUAAGGUAACGGCCUAUCAAGGCAACGAUGCGUAGCCGACCUGUGAGGGGGGUAGGCCCCCUCAGGAGUUGACCACCGGCCUGGGGCCUGAGGGGGGGAGCAGGAGGGAAAGCUACGCAAAAGUGGGAAACCUUGCCGAAGGAACGCAAGGGAGGUGAGGAAGGUCUGCGAUCGGGAAAACUGUGUUCUAGGGGAAAACCAAUGUGUAAGUAACUAUGCACGUCUUGACGGUACCUAAUCAGAAAGCCACGGCUAACUACGUG
Molecule: ribosomal RNA, 497 nt
Filed under: uncultured bacterium
Lineage: Bacteria
Description: partial 16S ribosomal RNA
Rfam family: Bacterial small subunit ribosomal RNA
Source: RNAcentral